GAAAACAGAAGCCAUCAUCUUCUUCCCAUUAAGAGGCGCAUCAGCUUAAGGGAAAAACCAGAAAUCCUCCUCCUUCUCCAACAAUAAAAAUACUAUUUUCUACCGUUAAAGGAGCCUUCUUCCCAACUGAAAACCAAUAGCUUUUCUCCAUGGAAACUGCCUCAAACUUCAGCUCCAAAACACCCCAAACCAACGUGAAGUAGCUUGAAACUCCAGCCAAACACCUAAACUCUAACGUCCAGCCACCCACAACAACCGAGCAUCACCCCCACGAUGGAGUCGAAUUGAGGCUUUUAAAAUUCGGGGUUCAAAGUUUGCCUUUUCGGCGAGUCUCGAAUUUCCGGCGAGGUCAAUCGAGUCUGCCGGAGCUUCGGUUAAGGUCUUGUCCAUGGUCUGUCGAGUGUUAAAAUCACUCCCUGCUUAACUAAGGUCCGUUUUUUAUGAACUCUUAGAUUUGGAUCUUCAUUUUUCUUCAUCUUGUACUAGCUCAUGUCAAGCUUGAAUAAAGCGUAGGCCAUAUUAAUAUGGUCUUGUAUGUUUUGAUUUACUCUCUGGUUUGAAAUGUUGCCAUCUUUUCAUUUUAUGUUUUGGAUACUCUCCAUAUUUGUUGGGAAAUGCUUUAAAUGUUCAUGAUUUGGUUUCUUCUUUUUAUUUGUUAAUUGAAAUGCAAAAACAAUUACAGAAGUUUAAAUAUAUAGUUUGUUAAUAUGAGAGAUAGAUUAAUUUGUUGAGAUUAUAUUGUGAUAUGAGGGAUUUAAACUCUCGUAUUUUCCUUGCUCUCGUCACUCUAACAGAAAUUAUACAUAUUCAUUCAAGAUUCUAUGAGUCAAGUCACUAACACACUAACUCUCCUAUUUUCUGGCCUUUUGUCUUUCUUUUAAUUUUCUUUUAAGGUGAAAUAAAUUAAUAGAAUAUUUACAUAAUAUUCACAGUAUAAUUUACGUUAUAUUAUUUUAUUCAAAUAUAUAUUGAUGGAAUCAGAAGAGUAAUAGGUGAAAUAUUUUGAUGAAUUACUUACAUUAUAUCCAUAAUAUAAUUUCAGUUAAUAAUGAUUUAUUUUAUUGAAGGAAUAUUAAAAUUAUAUAAAACUUUUACAAUAUAAUAUAUUAUAAAUAUAUUAAAUGUAUAUUUUGCUGAAAAAAUAAAACUGUCCACCACAAAAAUUAAAUAUAGGGAAAAACAAUACCAAAAAUUCCCUUCGUAUAAAUAUAUUUUAGAGGUAUAAUUUCAUUAUAAAACAUACUCAAUUGUAUGUAUUUAAAACAUCGUAUAAAUAUGGUAUGCUUUUAAUUUAGAUGUUGUUAUGUAAUAUUUGUGGUAUAUUAUAGGUAUAAAGUAUAUAUAACGUAUAUAUUUAAUAUGCCAUAUUUUAAAACAUACAUAUUGUAUCAAAUAUUUGGGAAAAUCUGCCAUAUCAGAAAGGAAUUUUAUACUUGAACACUUGAUUGUGUGGCAAGUGUUGAUACUCUGUAUAUUACACCAAAUUAUAUAUCAUUAAAGAAUAAAAAGCAUGAGGAGAAAGAAACAUUUGGUUUAACUCUUGCGUUGGUAAUUUGAUAGAAGAGUGAUUUGUCGAAGUUUGUGAGAAAGCAACAAUAGUAUUUGAGCAUCAUUUUCGAAAAAAUAAAAUAAAAUUGAUAAGUGAUGAGAAGAACUUCUACUGAAAUAAAGGAAGACAUGAAACUUCUCUCAAAGAGAGAAGAGAAAUCUUCUCAACGGUUAUUUAAUAUGAGAGAGAAAUAAGAUAUAAGAAUUUAAACAUAAUCCCUUGUUUUUAGGAAGAGUUAAAAAAUAAAUAUAUUAAAUACUAGUAUUUUAUUUAUAUAUGCUGCAUUUGUAAUAAAAUGUGCUAUUAUUGGAAUAAUCUAAAUAUGGUAACAUUAAUAUAAAUACUAUUUUAUAAGAGCCCUACAAUGUAAAAAUGUCUUCUAUAAUUGUUGUACACUUUCCACAAUAAAUUUCGCAACUUUGGACCUUCAUAUAACCUCAAAUUUUAGGAAAAUAAUUAAUACAUAAACAUUCGUAGUUUGCUUUAGGCACAGUCAAUAAAUCAUCGUGGCCAUGGGUACGGUUUUCGUGGCAUGGUCACGAUACGUAAACCCCAAUUCGAGUGCGCAUUUCACGUGACUCGACCAUAACUUUAAAUAAUAAUAAUAAUAAAAUAUGUUGUAAAUCGCGGGUGCGUUUCACGUGACACGAUUUGCAAUAUAUACAAAAACAACGAGUGCGCGACAUCGCGACUUGUUCAAAUAAAUUCCAUAAAUACUAAAAGAGGUUAAUUAUUUAAUUAAAGGCGGUAAAAGAUAAAAUGCACAAUAGGUUUUUUAAACAUGUAAUAAAUCAGAUAAUUAAGUCAAGUAUUAAUUGUUAAGCGACCGUGCUAAAACCACCGAACUCGGGAGUGCCUCACAUCUUCUCCCGCGUUAACAAAAUUCCUUACCCGGUCUUCUGUGUUCGCGGACUAUAAAUAAGAGUCAAUUUCCUCGAUUUGGGAUUUUAAGAUAAACCGGUAACUUGGGACACCAUAAUAAUUAUCCCAAGUGGCGACUCUGAUUAAAUAAAUAAUCUCAUUUCGAAUAAUGACACUUUAAUUGGAAAAACUCCUUAUCCCCUCGGGUAAAAGGAGGAUGUGACGACACCAUGUGGGUCCGCCCCUGAGUUCUAUCCAAAAAAAGGAAAAAGAAAAAACUAACCAGUCCAAACAUGCAAUAACACUAGCACUACCAGCUACUCUAUGUAGCAGCAUACGUCAAUAUGAUACUCCAAUAUAUCAUGUCAAAAGUCCUAAGUCAUCACUUUAAACACAUAAGGGUUCAAAAUGAACAACAGAAAAUACAUUCAUUACAUAAUUAUAUGAAUCUCAUGAACUUUAAAGACCUAAAUUCCUGAAUUUUAUAAAUACAUGAUUAUAUCUUCACUUUUAUUUUCUCCUCUAAUUCAUGUAGCUUCCAUAAGAUUAUAUUGCUACCAUGCUAUUCUUAAUCAAAAUUUCAUCCUUCGGUUUCAAUGCACAAAUUUCUCUAUCCAGGUUUGUGAUUAAUAUCUUCUAUCAAUCUCUUAUGAUUCGUACCAUUC
RNAcentral lists this long non-coding RNA (3075 nucleotides) under Nicotiana tabacum (common tobacco). Its description in RNAcentral is "long non-coding RNA (NTAB_LNC003890)". The record is from RNAcentral. Lineage: Eukaryota; Viridiplantae; Streptophyta; Magnoliopsida; Solanales; Solanaceae.